This is an RNA transcript of Paramisgurnus dabryanus, 6704 nucleotides long. It is a transcript of the gene named centrosomal protein 85, like, with no coding region annotated. The record is from RefSeq and is a predicted model, not a curated record. NCBI's taxonomy places the organism in Eukaryota, Metazoa, Chordata, Actinopteri, Cypriniformes, Cobitidae.
CACAUCCAUGUGUGAAUGUGCUAUGCUAUGUCAAAUACAGUGCUGUGAGGGAGAAAACAAUUUAUUUCACUUUUCUGAUGUGAAUGCGCAAGCAUAACGGGAAUGGAUUGAACACAUAUAACUUAGAUACAGCAUGAGUCUUUCCUGACUGAAUCAGUAUUCAAAUAAAUAUGCUCACUCCGGAUCAGGUGUCCUUGAUAGGACUGGUGUUUGAGACCUAUGUGAUGGAGCAUCACAAGAAUGACGUACUUCAGAUCUUACAGGAGACCAGUGGAAAUGCCCACUACCCGGUUGUAGUGAACGCCAUGACAUUAUUUGAGGAUAAUAUGGAGGUCGGAGAGUGUUUUAAUGCAUUUCCCAGCCAGGUGCUGCCUAUAUUUGACAAUGCCUUACAGAGGGCCGCUCUGUCCAUAUCUCAGUCCUGCGACCCACUGCAGCAAAGCUUCACUCUCAGACAUCAUCUGCAUGUACGAAUAUCAGGGUUGCCUGUGUGUCCUGAGCUGACCAGAGAUCACAUUCCCAAAGCCAGAGACGUGGGCCACUUCCUAUCCGUUACGGGAACGGUCAUCCGCACCAGCGUGACAAAAGUGCUGGAGAGCGAGAGAGACUACAUGUGCAAUAAGUGCCGGCAUGUGUUCUCAGUGCAGGCCGAUUUCGAGCAGUUUUACACCUUCGCCCCUCCCACCAGCUGCCCCAGUGAGGAUGGAUGCAGUUCUUAUAAAUUCACCUGUCUGUCAGAAAGUGAUGCUUCACCGGCCGCCUGCAAGGACUAUCAGGAGAUCAAAAUUCAAGAGCAGGUUCAGAGACUAUCAGUAGGCAGUAUCCCUCGGUCUAUGCUCAUAAUCUUGGAAGAUGAUCUUGUGGACAGCUGUAAAUCAGGUGAUGACAUCACUGUGUAUGGAGUGGUCUGUCAGCGCUGGAAGCCGUUGUUUCAAGAUUGUCGUUGCGAUGUGGAGAUUGUGUUGAAAGCGAACUAUAUCGAGGUCAAUAAUGAGCAGUCCACCACAGCACUGGGGCUGGAAGACAUUCAGAAGGAAUCUGAAGAAUUUUGGGACAGGCACAAAAAUGAUCCAUUGGCUGGCAGGAACCAAAUCCUGAUGAGUCUUUGCCCUCAGGUGUUUGGGAUGUAUGUCGUGAAGCUGGCCGUUGCUAUGGUUUUGGCAGGUGGGGUACAGAGAAUAGAUGCCUCGGGAACCAAGGUGAGAGGCGAGUCUCAUCUGCUGCUCGUGGGUGAUCCAGGGACUGGAAAGUCACAGUUUUUAAAGUAUGCUGCAAAGAUUACACCACGCUCAGUGCUUACUGCAGGAAUUGGAUCCACUAACGCAGGUCUGACGGUGGCAGCUGUGAAGGACUCCGGUGAAUGGCAUCUGGAGGCAGGAGCCCUCGUCCUCUCUGAUGGAGGUCUGUGCUGUAUCGAUGAGUUCAACAGCAUUAAAGAGCACGAUCGUACCAGCAUUCAUGAAGCCAUGGAGCAGCAAACCAUCAGCGUGGCCAAAGCCGGAAUGGUGUGCAAACUGGACACAAGGACCACCAUCCUAGCAGCGACUAACCCAAAGGGCCAGUAUGACCCUAAUGUGUCUGUAUCUGUGAAUGUGGCUCUGGCCAGCCCACUCCUGAGUCGCUUUGACCUUGUGCUGGUUCUGCUGGACACCAAGAACCCAGAGUGGGACAACAUCAUCUCAUCCUUCAUAUUACAGAAUAAAGGAGCUCCAAGCGAGUCUUCUUGUUUAUGGAGUAUGGAGAAGAUGAGGGCUUAUUUCUGCCUGAUCAAAAGCCUUCAGCCUCAAGUGACACAAGAAGCAAACAUAAUACUGAGUCGCUACUAUCAACUGCAGAGACAGAACGACAGUCGUAAUGCCGCCCGCACCACCAUCCGCAUGCUGGAGAGCCUCAUUCGGCUCGCUGAGGCUCACGCCAAGUUGAUGUACAAAGAGACUGUGUCAGUUGCAGACGCCGUUGUCGUCGUGUCUCUCAUGGAGUGCUCUAUGCAGGGGGGCGCUCUGCUUGGCAAUGUUAAUGCGUUGCACACUUCCUUUCCUGAUAACCCCUGUGAGCAGUACAGAACACAGUGUGAGGUUGUGCUGGAAAGACUGGGCUUGACCGAUAUCCUACACAAAGAGCUGCAGAGACUCUCAAGGCUACAGAACACAAGAUCAAGCUCUCCUAAAGGGACCGUACCACAUACUGAACACACAAAUGGGAAUGAGGCUGACAAAAAUCACAGUAACGGUGAGCUGACCACUGAGUCCGACCGAGGCCUAGACUGGUUCCACUCCUUAUCCAGCCCGACCGGUACCGAUGCAAUUGUUCACACCUCCCCUGUCGUCACCUCGACUCAGAACGGCACAUCGGCACGACGCAUGGCAGUUUUGCCUAGCAACAGCAGCGGUUCUGCUCACCAAAAGGGUUCAGCACGGGAGAACAAUGUAGGUGUCUCCAAGAAAAUUGCUGACAAACCCGCUACUGUGGUAGACAGUGCCUCCAAAAAGCUCAGAGGAAAAAGGUUGAAAGCGAUAAAAGCGUCUUUAAUGCAGAGCAAGGACAGGGGCAUUGAAGACAGAGAAGAUGCAGAAAAUGAUCUUGAGGUGUUUAUUUCAGACACACGUCCUUCACACAGCACACCCAUGACAGUAAAGAAACCCACUAAAAGGAAAAGGCCGACUAUCAGUUCAUUUGAGAUUGAUCAGGAGCCUGAGGGUGCCGAAAACUUGCGUGCCAAACUCACAAACUUCACCUUUAAGCCCAAAAAUAGAUUAACUCAUGCAGGUCCGUCAGAUGGUAACACUUGUUCAGAGAUCUUUGUGAAAGACAGUGAGCGGAGGGAACCUACAGUGUCUCGAUUGCAAGAAAAAGAACCGGUUGAUGGGAAUCAGUCAAGCCCACAUUGGCCAGCAGAGGGCAGCAAUACUAAAGAGAAACUCAAGAUGGGAAAUAAAAACAAAAACAAAGAUCCCUCUGAGGUUUCCAGUGAGGACAGCAGAGCUAAAAAUGGAAAUUUCAAAGAGAUUGAACAUAAGCAACAGAUGCCGCCGAGACCAAACAGGCUUUCUCCAUGUGAAAGCAGCGACAAUGCCAAUAAACAACCACCAUCCCUAACAAAACAAGACCAACCUAAGGUGGCCAGCUCCACCCUAGCUAAACUUUCCAGAUUCUCUUUUAUUGCCUCGACUGAGGAAAAGUCUGGUGAUGAAACAAUCCCAGUUCCACCUAAAGCCAAAAGCAUCAGUACAAACAACACGUCAACAAGCGUACGAGAAGAAUUCACAGAUUCUACCACACAGAUAAAUAGGUCACAAAAUAACACAACCCUAAAGACGAGGAAAAAUAUAACUGCAGAAGAACCGAAGACCAUCACACCACAGACAGGGUGCGUAAGGACGGAAACCUCUGGUAUACGGGAAGCAGCCGAGCAGCAUUCUGGCAACCCAAUGAAGAGGAGAUGUUUUGAAUUGGGCUCCAGAGGUCCUGCAGGACUCUUUACAGGUCAUUCUUUGUUCAGCUCAUCUGUCAUAGAUGAUGAUGAUGACCUGGAUGUUGAAUGGGAAUGAGAUGUUUGCCGUUUGUUGAAUGUUUCGUACUAUUUGACACAAUAUUUAGUUUUUCUGUUUCUCUUUGAAAUGUGAUGUGUAGAAUGAAAUGUGUUAGUAAAUAUCAGUAAAUAUCGUUUACAUUUUUAUAACUGGUUCAGUGUCUUCAGUGUAUAAGUUGCUUAUUCCAUUACAGACACUGUGCUCUACAUUUUUGUACAUUCUCAAAAACUAGUCAAAAUAUGUACCCCAGCAGUCACCAGGGUUACAGAUUUGCUCUGGUACCUAAUAGGGUGCAUAUUAGUAUCUCGGAUGUACAACUGGUUUGAAAUAGGGUGCAUAUAAGUCCCUAGGAGGUAUGUACUGGUACCAAAUAGGGUGCAUAUAAGUCCCUAGGAGGUAUGUACUGGUACCAAAUAGGGUACAUAUAAGUCCCUAGGAGGUACGUACUGGUACCAAAUAGACUGCUCGGCGGUACCUACUGAUGGAAAAAGGGGGGCAUACUAGUAUCUCAGAGGUACCUACUGGUAUCCGAUAGGGUGCAUAUUAGUACCUUGGAGGUACGUACUGGUACCAAAUAGACUGCAUAUUAGGACCUCAGAGGUACCUACUGAUAGAAAAAAGGGGUGCAUACUAGUUUCUCGGAGGUACGUACUGGUACCGAAUAGGGUGUAUGUUAGUACCUAGGAGGUACGUACUGGUACCAAAUAUACUGCUCAGCGGUACCUACUGAUGGAAAAAGGGGGGCAUACUAGUAUCUCAGAGGUACCUACUGGUACCCGAUAGGGUGCAUAUUAGUACCUUGGAGGUACGUACUGGUACCGAAUAGGGUGCAUAUUAGUACCUCUGAGGUACCUACUGAUAGAAAAAAGGGGUGCAUACUAGUAUCUCGGAGGUACGUACUGGUACCGAAUAGGGUGUAUAUUAGAACCUAUGAGGUACGUACAUGUUCCAAAUAGACUGAAUAUUAGUACCUCGGAGGAACCUACUGAUAGAAAGAAGGGGUGCAUACUAGUAUCGGAGGUACGUACUGGUACUGAAUAGGGUGCAUAUAGUACCUCGGAGGUAUGUACUGGUACCAAAUAAGGUGCAUAUUAGUACUUAGGAGGUACGAACUGGUUCCAAAUAGACUGAAUAUUAGGAGUACCUCGGAGGUACGUACUGGUAUCGAAUAGGGUGCAUAUUAGUACCUAGGAGGUACGUACUGGUACCAAAUAAACUGCAUAUUUGUACCUUGGAGGUACUUACUGGUAUCAUAUAAGGUGCAUGUUAGUACCUUGGAGCUAAGUACUGGUACCAAAUAGGGUGCAUAUUAGUACCUUGGCGGUACGUACUGGUACCGAAUAGGGUGCAUAUUAGGACCUCGGAGGUACCUACUGAUAGAAAAAAGGGGUGCAUACUAGUUUCUCGGAGGUACGUACUGGUACCGAAUAGGAUGUAUAUUAGUACCUAUGAGGUACGUACAGGUUCCAAAUAGACUGAAUAUUAGUACCUCUGAGGUACCUACUGAUAGAAAAAUGGGGUGCAUACUAGUAUCGGAGGUAAGUACUGGUACUGAAUAGGGUGCAUAUUAGUACCUCGGAGGUAUGUACUGGUACCAAAUAAGGUGCAUAUUAGUACUUAGGAGGUAUGAACUGGUUCCAAAUAGACUGAAUAUUAGGAGUACCUCGGAGGUACGUACUGGUAUCGAAUAGGGUGCAUAUUAGUCCCUAGGAGGUACGUACUGGUCUGGUAGCAAACAGGGUGCAUAUUAGUACCUCAGAGGUAUCUACUGGUACCAAAUAGGGUGCAUAUUGGUACCUAGGAGGUAUCUACUGGUACCAAAUAGGGCGCAUAUUAGUACCUCAGAGGUAUAUACUGGUACCAAAUAGGGUGCAUAUUAGUACCUCAGAGGUAUCCACUUGUACCAAAUAGGGUGCAUAUUAGUACCUAGGAGGUAUCUACUGGUACCAAAUAGGGGGCAUAUUAUUACCUCAGAUGUAUCUACCAGUAGCAAAUAGGGUGCAUAUUUGUACCUUGGAGGUAUCUACUGGUACCAAAUAGGGUGCAUAUUAGUACCUCAGAGGUAUCUAUCGGUAAAAAAUAAGGUGCGUGUUAGUACCUCAGAUGUAUCUACUGGUAGCAAAUAGGGUGCAUAUUAGUACCUCAGAGGUAUCUACUGGUACUAAAUAGGGCGCAUAUUAGUACCUCAGAGGUAUCUACCGGUAAAAAAUAAGGUGCGUAUUAGUACCUCAGAUGUAUCUACCGGUAAAAAAUAAGGUGCGUAUUAGUACCUCAGAUGUAUCUACUGGUAGCAAAUAGGGUGCAUAUUAGUACCUCAGAGGUAUCUAAUAGUACCAAAUAAGGUGCAUAUUAGUAUAUUAGUAUCUAGGAGGUACAUACUGUUACCAAAUAUAGUGCAAAUUAGUACCUCAAAGGUUAUACAUAGUAUUUCAACGGUACAUCAGAAUGGUAUUGGCCAAACGUAUACCUAUCUGCACCUCAUUGUGCAUAUUAGGACCUUUUUAAAGGGUAUUGCCGCAUGGUAACAGAUGAAGUACAUAUUUUGAUAAUUUUUUCUACCAGUGUAGCAGUUUAUAUUUUCUUUGAAGUUUGUUUAUAAUGUCAUAAGUAUAUAAGAUUUCUUUCAAUUUGUUAUUUAACGUUGCAAUUGACAGGCAAAUAUAGUGAUUUUCUGUCUGUUUAAAGUCAAAUAACCAUUAAAGUCAAUGCUGUGUGCUUAGCAGACACUGUAAGAGAUGUUUUCAGGCUUGAGCAAUCGAACCACUGGGAAUUGGGCAUGACGCCAUGGUGAAAAGAUGCUGCCUGUUGUCAUGGUGACCGAUUGCAUUCCAUCGGGAGGUUGGAAAUGAAGGUGCUGCAGUGGGUGAUAAUAGGAUCCCUGUUUCCGCCAUACAGGAUCUGCUGCGUCAGGUGAUCUGACAAACACUGCCACCUUCUCCAAGGAGUUACUUUAUGAAGUCUAACCUUUAAUUUGACUGGGUCAAGGUCUGAAGUCAUGGCUCGCCGAGCGUCAGUGUUCUGUACAGACGGGCUAAAGGUUCGAGCACAUCCUCUCCUGGAUGGGUCCCAGGCUGUGACUCGGCAUGGCAAGCGUCCUCUACUUCUGCUGGCAUUAGCAGCCGCGGGCGACGUCACAGCGCCGCCUCGGACAGUGGCGACACGGGCAUUGGAACC